RNAcentral lists this unclassified non-coding RNA (658 nucleotides) under Octopus sinensis (East Asian common octopus). RNAcentral's name for it is "uncharacterized LOC115222915, transcript variant X1". Lineage: Eukaryota; Metazoa; Mollusca; Cephalopoda; Octopoda; Octopodidae. The record is from RNAcentral.
AGCUUUUGUGUGUUGAUAAAGAUGGUGUGACUAUCAUUACGAUGACGACGAUGCUGCUGAUGCUAAUAGUGAUGAUGAAGACGGGAGUGAUGAGGAGAGGAGCUACGCCAUGAUAACGUCAGGCUGCCGACAUACAUUAAUAUCUGGCCUCAUUUUACUCCUCCUGGGUCCAGAUUGUAUUUCCAGCCUAAAAUGCUACGAAUGUGACAAUGAGUUGACUAACAACUUUUGCAUGAGCGAUUUAAACCUGCACGAAUGUGGACCAGCGUUGGACACAUGCCAAACCAUCGUAGCUUAUUCAGACGUCAGUGAGAAGCUGUCCAUCAUAAAAACAUGUUCUGUGAAUGCUUCUUGUCACAUCCAAAAACAGGAGAAUAAGGACAUUCCCUGUGAUAAAAACCAAAACAAAUGGAUUUGCACCAGUUGCUGUCAUGAAGAUGGCUGUAAUAUCAGCGGGCAGCAGUUUGUACAGUCAUCGUUUUCUGUCCUACAGCUUCUUAUUGUGUCUUUAUUCGCUACCGUUGUCGUUGUUGGAUGAAGUGAAGUGAAUGUAGCCGUAGAGUAUUGCGUUACUUGUUGCCGGUUGAGAUGGUAUGAAACACACACACACACACACACGUAUAUAUGUAUUCGGAUGUAAAGAAAAUGAAAAACAUAG